Long non-coding RNA from Nerophis ophidion (straightnose pipefish), 549 nucleotides. RefSeq lists it as uncharacterized. Lineage: Eukaryota; Metazoa; Chordata; Actinopteri; Syngnathiformes; Syngnathidae. The transcript has 3 exons. The record is from RefSeq and is a predicted model, not a curated record.
CCUUCCGUUGCUUUGGAUUUGAGCUGUGUGUCUCGGAACACCUUGGAACCCAUCCCUGGAUCUCGACUGCCUCCCUUGAUCCUCGACCACCGCUCUGGACACGGACCUCUUGACGCCUCUCUCUGCCCCACGGGCCUUGCUUGGAUCACGGGGCCCUUUUGCCUAUAUCCCCUUUGGAUUUGUCUGCUUCCUCAUCCAACAAUUAUGUUCUGUGCCGUCACAACUCCUCCUCCAACCAUAACACGGACUCUAGGAAAAAGAAUCAGGAGACGACGUCACAACCUUUCGAACUUUACAAGCCAACUUUACAAACCAACUUUACAAGCCUUCUGUUGAUGUCCCUGUUUUCCUUCCGUUGCUUUGGAUUUGAGCUGUGUGUCUCGGAACACCUUGGAACCCAUCCCUGGAUCUCGACUGCCUCCCUUGAUCCUCGACCACCGCUCUGGACACGGACCUCUUGACGCCUCUCUCUGCCCCACGGGCCUUGCUUGGAUCACGGGGCCCUUUUGCCUAUAUCCCCUUUGGAUUUGUCUGCUUCCUCAUCCAACA